UGGGGAAUAUUGCACAAUGGGCGAAAGCCUGAUGCAGCAACGCCGCGUGAGUGAUGAAGGCCUUCGGGUUGUAAAGCUCUGUCUUUUGGGACGAUAAUGACGGUACCAAAGGAGGAAGCCACGGCUAACUACGUGCCAGCAGCCGCGGUAAUACGUAGGUGGCAAGCGUUGUCCGGAUUUACUGGGCGUAAAGGAUGCGUAGGCGGAUUUUUAAGUGAGAUGUGAAAACCCUAAGCUUAACUUGGGGACUGCAUUUCAUACUGGAAAUCUAGAGUGCGGGAGAGGAGAAUGGAAUUCCUAGUGUAGCGGUGAAAUGCGUAGAGAUUAGGAAGAACACCAGUGGCGAAGGCGAUUCUCUGGACCGUAACUGACGCUGAGGCAUGAAAGCGUGGGUAGCAAACAGGAUUAGAUACCCUGGUAGUCCACGCCGUAAACGAUGAGUACUAGGUGUAGGAGGUAUCGACCCCUUCUGUGCCGCAGUUAACACAAUAAGUACUCCGCCUGGGAAGUACGAUCGCAAGAUUAAAAACUUAAAUGAAUUUGACGGGGGUCAUAGCUGUUUU
This 563-nucleotide ribosomal RNA is filed under the name uncultured bacterium. RNAcentral's name for it is "partial 16S ribosomal RNA". It matches the Rfam family "Bacterial small subunit ribosomal RNA", at positions 355 to 933 of the family's 1533-position model. The record is from RNAcentral.